AUGGCCACCGCCGCCGCUCCGGCGCCUCACGUUCUGGUCGUUCCGUUCCCGGCGCAGGGCCACAUGAUCCCGCUCCUCGAUCUCGCAGGCCUCCUCGCGGCCCGCGGCCUUCGCCUCACCGUCAUCGUUACCCCCGUCACUGCCCCGCUCCUCGCUCCCCUCCUCGGUGGAGCCAUCCGUGCGGUCACUCUCCCGUUUCCAACCCACCCGGCCUUCCCCGCCGGCGUCGAGAGCGCCAAGGGAUGCCCGCCCGCUCUCAUGGGCACGCUCAUCGUCGCCUUCGCGGGGCUCCGCGGUCCGCUCGGUUCCUGGGUGCGCGCCCACUCCGGCACCCCGGACCGCGUCGUCGCCAUACUCUCCGACUUCUUCUGCGGCUGGACGCAGCCGCUCGCCGCCGAGCUCGGCCUACCGCGCAUCACCUUCUCGUGCUGCGCCGUCUACGGCACCGCCGUGCUCCACUCGCUCCUGCGUCGGCUGCCCAGACGCGAGCACGAGAACGACGACGAGUGCCCGAUUCCAUUCCCAGAUCUCCCGGGCGCCCCGGCGUACCCGUGGCGGCAGCUCUCGUUGAUGUACCGGACCUACAAGGAGGGCGACGAGGUGGCAGAGGGGAUCAGGAGAAACUUCCUCUGGAACCUGGAUUGCUCGGCGUUCGUGUGUAGCACGUUCAGGAGGCUCGAGGGACGGUACCUGGAAGCGCCCCUCGCUGACAUAGGCUUUCGGCGCGUGCGCGCGGUAGGACCAUUGGCGCCAGAGGCCGACGCCGCAGGCAACCGCGGCGGAGAGACGGCGGUAACCGCGGCCGACCUCUGUGCUUGGCUCGACAAGUUCGAGGACGACAAAUCCGUCAUCUACAUCAGCUUCGGGAGCAUGGCGGUGCUGCAGCCAGCUCAUGCGGCGGCGCUGGCUGCCGCCCUGGAGCGGACGGGCGCGGCGUUCGUGUGGGCGGUAGGUCCGGCUGUGACACUCCCGGACGGGUUCGAGGAGCGUGUUGCGUCUGGCGGCAGGGGCAUGGUCAUCCGAGGAUGGGCGCCGCAGGUGGCCGCGCUACGGCACCGGGCGGUGGGUUGGUUCGUGACGCACUGUGGGUGGAACUCGGUGCUGGAGUCCGUGGCGGCCGGGGUGACCAUUCUGGCGUGGCCGAUGACUGCCGACCAGUUUGUGAACGCCCGGCUUCUCGUGGACGAGCUGCGCGCCGCCGUGCCGGUGUGUUGGGGCGGCGUUGCCACGGCGCCAAGCGCCGACGAGCUGGUUUGCGUGCUCAAGUCGACAGUGGUGGGGAAGGGGCGGGACGGGGAGUGGGGUGAUGUGGCCGCACGGACCAAGGAGCUAGCCGAGGAAGCGGGCGCGGCGGUGCGUGAAGGUGGCAGCUCGUGGCAGGAGGUGGAGGAGCUGGCACGGGAGCUCCGCGAGAUCGGGAGGUAG
This 1425-nucleotide ribosomal RNA is filed under the name Triticum aestivum (bread wheat). RNAcentral's name for it is "partial small subunit ribosomal RNA". The record is from RNAcentral. Lineage: Eukaryota; Viridiplantae; Streptophyta; Magnoliopsida; Poales; Poaceae.